CGGGUGAGUAACACGUGGAUAACCUACCUAUAAGACUGGGAUAACUUCGGGAAACCGGAGCUAAUACCGGAUAAUAUUUUGAACCGCAUGGUUCAAAAGUGAAAGACGGUCUUGCUGUCACUUAUAGAUGGAUCCGCGCUGCAUUAGCUAGUUGGUAAGGUAACGGCUUACCAAGGCAACGAUGCAUAGCCGACCUGAGAGGGUGAUCGGCCACACUGGAACUGAGACACGGUCCAGACUCCUACGGGAGGCAGCAGUAGGGAAUCUUCCGCAAUGGGCGAAAGCCUGACGGAGCAACGCCGCGUGAGUGAUGAAGGUCUUCGGAUCGUAAAACUCUGUUAUUAGGGAAGAACAUAUGUGUAAGUAACUGUGCACAUCUUGACGGUACCUAAUCAGAAAGCCACGGCUAACUACGUGCCAGCAGCCGCGGUAAUACGUAGGUGGCAAGCGUUAUCCGGAAUUAUUGGGCGUAAAGCGCGCGUAGGCGGUUUUUAAGUCUGAUGUGAAAGCCCACGGCUCAACCGUGGAGGGUCAUUGGAAACUGGAAAACUUGAGUGCAGAGGAGGAAAGUGGAAUUCCAUGUGUAGCGGUGAAAUGCGCAGAGAUAUGGAGGAACACCAGUGGCGAAGGCGACUUUCUGGUCUGUAACUGACGCUGAUGUGCGAAAGCGUGGGGAUCAAACAGGAUUAGAUACCCUGGUAGUCCACGCCGUAAACGAUGAGUGCUAAGUGUUAGGGGGUUUCCGCCCCUUAGUGCUGCAGCUAACGCAUUAAGCACUCCGCCUGGGGAGUACGACCGCAAGGUUG
Molecule: ribosomal RNA, 806 nt
Filed under: uncultured Staphylococcus sp.
Lineage: Bacteria; Bacillati; Bacillota; Bacilli; Caryophanales; Staphylococcaceae
Description: bacterial SSU rRNA
Rfam family: Bacterial small subunit ribosomal RNA
Source: RNAcentral